UCUCUUCUUUCCUUCACCCGGCAAAAUACUCUUUCUUCUCUAACCCUUCACUUUCUCACUCUAUAUCCAUCUUUAUGCACUAAAUGUCUUUCACAUUUUAAGCUUGUUUUUAGAGUGAUUAAAGUGAGAUUUUAUGAAGCCAUAGGUGAGGAAGUUGAUGAGUUGAGGAGAGUUUUUAAUUGAGACCAAUCUUGCAAGGGGCUAGGAAUUUCAAAUUUGGGGGCUGUUUUGAAGAUCUUGCUUGGUUGAGAUAGGGGUUGUCCUAAACCUCAAUUCUUUUGUUUUUCUUAUGAAUUAACCUUCUUAGUUGAACCACUAUAUGACAAGAAUUGAAAUUUCCUUGCAAACAUGUUAUGUAGUUAAAUAUGAAAUUUAUAGUUUGUAUAUUAAUGGUGUGUUGUGGUUUUCUUUCUUUUAAAAAUUGAAAUUUUUGCCCUUUAAAUAUUGGUUGUGUUCAUGUGCAUAGAACAAAAAAUUCUAGUAAUUACAAUGGUUGGGUAGUUAUGCUUAUAAACUGAAAUUCCUAUGAUAAUUUAACCAUGAAAUUGUUUUGUUGUAAGCUUCUUUUUGUUAUUGUGUUGUUGUUGCAAGUCUGAAAUUUUGCUGCUUACAUGGGGAUGACAUGUUAUUUGUUUUAAACAUUGAAUUAGAGCUCUUCUUAAUGUCGGUUGUGUUUAUGUGUAUAAAAUUGAAAUUAUAGUAACCAUAAUGGUUGUAUUGUUGUUGAUUAGAUGUUGAAAAUUUGAUGUUUAGUUUACCUCACUUAUGGAUUGUUUAGUUCUAAGUUAGGUGUUGUUAAUAUUGUUUAAAAAUAAUAAUAAUAAUAAUUAAAAAAAAAAAAAAAACCCCGAUUGGUACAUUGUCCUUAAAGCGUGCAUGAUGGUUUUGAUGUUGGGUGUUCUCUAAACUGAAAAAUUAGUUAUUACAACGAUGGUGUUAUAGUUUUAUAUAAAACUGAAAUUUGUACCUUGUUUCUAAAGCAUGAAUAAGAUUGUUUUGUUGUAAGGAUUAUGGUGGUUGUUGUUGCUCAAAAACUGAACUGGGACCUUGACUUCAAAACAUGAAUGAUUAUGUUGUGGGUUUAAAAUUGUCAUUUUAGUUUGUUAUUGAGUACAACUUAUAGAACUGAAAUUUGAUGUUGGAAAUGAUAUAACAUUAUGAGAUUAUGAAGUGUAUCAUUCAUGCAUUACAUUGGGCAUUACAUGGGGCAGAACAGAUUUUUUUUAAAAGGAGAAGAUUUUAUUUUCGAAAUGAAAGCAAAAUCUGAAAUUUGGGGAAAAUAUUCGAUAGAAUUUUGGAUAAUAGAGAGAGACAUUGGCACCUCAUUAACAUUGCAUUUCGUUGCGUUUACGAGAUCGUAUUAUGUGAUGAUUAUUAUUUCCCGAACAAGCAUGACCCUUUUUCUUAUCGCUAUUCUUUGUUUGGAUUCACGGAGGCAUUAAGGAGUGCGUUUUAGGCAUCUUCUACUGAACCGUUGUGCUCACUCCUUACUAUUAUUUUUCAGGACACGAAAAGGAAGUGGCGAAAGACAUCCCCCACAGGCACUUAUCCCGAAAAUAAGCUAACUUAGCCAAAAUAAGAGCUUAAUUGAAGCAAUUCUGGGAUUAAACAAAGAAAUGAGCAAAGUGGAGAAAGAAGGAAGCAAAUGAAGCAAAAGGUGGCAAGCUGCAAAGUUCGAUCGAUCUAAGUUCAAGGUUCUAUCGAUCGAACAAUGAUCGAUCUCAGCACUUCAAGAUAGAUCCAAGCUUUGACCCAAAAGUAUAAAGUUCCAAAAGUUUAAUCGAUCCAACACCAUCAUUCGAUCGAUCGAACACUAUUGUCCUUAUUCAAAUGAUUGAUACUAUCUACAGCUGUACCACCCACUAACCACUUUUGUCCUUUUCCCAUAAAUAUCUCGGAUUUGUCUUUUUCCAAAAAGCUCAGCCAGUUGGAUCGAUCCAGCCUAAGUUUAAUCGAUCUUACUUACUUUCGAUCGAUUCAAGUUCAAGGUUCAAUCGAUCGAACUUCCUCUAGUGCGAAAAAGUUAAAAUUCCAUCUCAUUGAAAGUUGUCCUUUAUCCAAUCAUUAAGGAAUAUUGGGUGCACGACCCCAGCCUAUUUUUGGUGUCAUUUUGACCUACCUAUAUAAGGAUAAGGAUUGUUUUUACACAAAAAAAAAAAAAAAAAAAAAAAAAAAAAAAAAGCUAACAUUUAUUUUCAUAUCAUCUCUUAGAGAAAAAGUUUAAAGGAUAAGGAGGCUAGAGACACCAUUGGAGUUCUAUAUCAACAAUGAGCAGAUUUCAACCAUGGAAUUAGCCCUUGGGGGUUGGAGCAUCAUUACCAUGAGUGGCUAGACAUCUUCUUGGGGCUAGAGUUAGCCCCAAGCAUGCUUUCUAUAUCUUAAUCUUGUGUAUUAUUGAGGAAUUAGUGUUGUAAUUGAUGUUUUGAUACUUUGAUAUAUAUAUAUCUUGUUUAUUUAAUGAUU
Molecule: long non-coding RNA, 2463 nt
Organism: Cornus florida
Lineage: Eukaryota; Viridiplantae; Streptophyta; Magnoliopsida; Cornales; Cornaceae
Exons: 2
Source: RefSeq, a predicted model, not a curated record